RNAcentral lists this ribosomal RNA (254 nucleotides) under uncultured bacterium. RNAcentral's name for it is "partial 16S ribosomal RNA". It matches the Rfam family "Bacterial small subunit ribosomal RNA", at positions 524 to 776 of the family's 1533-position model. The record is from RNAcentral.
UUCGAAGGGGGCUAGCGUUGCUCGGAAUCACUGGGCGUAAAGCGCACGUAGGCGGAUUGCCAAGUCGGGGGUGAAAUCCUGGAGCUCAACUCCAGAACUGCCUUCGAUACUGGCGAUCUUGGAGUCCGGGAGAGGUGAGUGGAACUGCGAGUGUAGAGGUGAAAUUCGUAGAUAUUCGCAAGAAGACCAGUGGCGAAGGCGGCUCACUGGCCCGGUACUGACGCUGAGGUGCGAAAGCGUGGGGAGCAAACAGC